UAGGCAGGUACAGCGGGAAGCCACCUGGCGACAGGGAGCGGAACCCGAAAGCCUGUCUCAGUUCGGAUUGGAGUCUGCAACCCGACUCCAUGAAGCUGGAUUCGCUAGUAAUCGCGCAUCAGCCACGGCGCGGUGAAUACGUUCCCGGGCCUUGUACACACCGCCCGUCAAGCCAUGGAAGUCGGGGGUGCCUGAAGUGCGCUGCCGCAAGGAGCGCCCUAGGGUAAAACCGGUGACUGGGGCUAAGUCGUAACAAGGUACC
This 262-nucleotide ribosomal RNA is filed under the name uncultured bacterium. RNAcentral's name for it is "partial 16S ribosomal RNA". It matches the Rfam family "Bacterial small subunit ribosomal RNA", at positions 1229 to 1500 of the family's 1533-position model. The record is from RNAcentral.